CGGGCUGGCCGGGCGACCGCGUUGCUCCCUCGGGAGCACCGAGGAAAGUCCGGGCUCCACAGGGCAGGGUGGUGGCCAACGGCCACCCGGGGUGACCCGCGGGACAGUGCCACAGAAAGCAGACCGCCCUCCUCGUCGGCCGAGCUUCGGCGAUGCCGAUGAUGAGGGUAAGGGUGAAACGGUGAGGUAAGAGCUCACCAGCGGCCUGGGUGACCAGGCCGGCUAGGUAAACCCCACCCGGAGCAAGACCAGACAGUGCUCGCCUGAGGGCUGCCCGCCUGAGAGUACGGGUAGGUCGCUCGAGGCCGCCGGCAACGGCGGUCCUAGAUGGAUGGUCGCCGCUCCGCGAGGAGUACAGAACCCGGCUUACAGGUCAGCCCGUCCG
This 385-nucleotide RNase P RNA is filed under the name Nocardioides lacus. Its description in RNAcentral is "Nocardioides sp. BP30 RNase P RNA component class A". It matches the Rfam family "Bacterial RNase P class A". Rfam says of the family: Ribonuclease P (RNase P) is a ubiquitous endoribonuclease, found in archaea, bacteria and eukarya as well as chloroplasts and mitochondria. Its best characterised activity is the generation of mature 5'-ends of tRNAs by cleaving the 5'-leader elements of precursor-tRNAs. Lineage: Bacteria; Bacillati; Actinomycetota; Actinomycetes; Propionibacteriales; Nocardioidaceae. The record is from RNAcentral.